AGCUUUAUGUAAUUAAAUAAAGUAACUCCUGCUCAGUGAAUAUUAACAGCCGCAGAAUUAUAAUACUGUGCUAAGGUAGCAUAAUCACUUGUCUUCUAAUUAAAGAAUUGAAUGAACGGAAAAACGAAUUUAAGCCUGUUUCAUUUUUUUUUAAUAAAAUUACCAAAAAGUAAAAACACUUUUUUUUAAAAAAAAGACGAUAAGACCCUAAAGAACUUAACUAAAGUUAAGCUGGGGCGGCUUUUUAAAAAUAUCUUAUAUUUUAUUUUUAACUCCUUUCUAAAUUCUUCAAUGUUACCUUAGGGAUAACAGCAUAAUCUAAUUUUAUAGCUCUUAUUCAUAAUUAAGAUUAUGACCUCGAUGUUGAAUUAAAAAUCUCUCAAAUGAAAAAGAUUGAAAAGAAAGUCUGUUCGACUUUUAAUUAUUUACA
Molecule: ribosomal RNA, 430 nt
Filed under: Dysdera tilosensis
Lineage: Eukaryota; Metazoa; Arthropoda; Arachnida; Araneae; Dysderidae
Description: partial 16S ribosomal RNA
Rfam family: Bacterial large subunit ribosomal RNA
Source: RNAcentral